ACAAGCGGAGGAGCAUGUGGUUAAUUCGAUGAUACGCGAGGAACCUUACCUGGGCUCGAACGUAAGAUGACUGUAGGUGAAAGCUUACAUCUCUUCGGAGCAUUUUACGAGGUGCUGCAUGGUUGUCGUCAGCUCGUGCCGUGAGGUGUCGGGUUAAGUCCCAUAACGAGCGCAACCCCUACCUUAGUUGCCAUCAGGUUAAGCUGGGGACUCUAAAGGAACUGCCUACGCAAGUAGUGAGGAAGCGGGGAUGACGUCAAAUCAGCACGGCCCUUACGUCCAGGGCUACACACGUGCUACAAUGGCCGAUACAGAGGGCAGCUACCUGGUGACAGGAUGCAAAUCUCCAAAGUCGGUCUCAGUUCGGAUCGGAGUCUGCAACCCGACUCCGUGAAGUUGGAUUCGCUAGUAAUCGCGCAUCAGCCAUGGCGCGGUGAAUACGUUCCCGGGCCUU
Molecule: ribosomal RNA, 454 nt
Filed under: uncultured Sphingobacteriales bacterium
Lineage: Bacteria; Pseudomonadati; Bacteroidota; Sphingobacteriia; Sphingobacteriales
Description: bacterial SSU rRNA
Rfam family: Bacterial small subunit ribosomal RNA
Source: RNAcentral